This 247-nucleotide unclassified non-coding RNA is filed under the name uncultured Mortierella. RNAcentral describes it as "sequence contains ITS2". The record is from RNAcentral. Lineage: Eukaryota; Fungi; Mortierellomycota; Mortierellomycetes; Mortierellales; Mortierellaceae.
AACACCUCAAAGACUUUCAAUUUGUUUUGGAAUUCUUUGGACUUGAGCAAUCCCAACACCAGUCUUUACGAUCGGCGGAGGGUUGCUUGAAAUGCAGGUGCAGCUGGACAUUCUCCUGAGCUAUAAGCAUAUUUAUUUAGUCCCGUCAAACGGAUUAUUACUUUUGCUGCAGCUAACAUAAAGGGAGUCUGACCGUAUUGGCUGACUGAUGCAGGAUUUCACAAGGGUCGGCAACGCCUCUUGUAAA